This 460-nucleotide ribosomal RNA is filed under the name uncultured bacterium. Its description in RNAcentral is "partial 16S ribosomal RNA". It matches the Rfam family "Bacterial small subunit ribosomal RNA", at positions 338 to 795 of the family's 1533-position model. The record is from RNAcentral.
CCUACGGGUGGCAGCAGUGAGGAAUAUUGGUCAAUGGGCGCGAGCCUGAACCAGCAAAGUAGCGUGAAGGAUGACUGCCCUACGGGUUGUAAACUUCUUGUAUAAAGGAAUAAAGUGAGGCACGUGUGCCUUUUUGUAUGUACUUUAUGAAUAAGGAUCGGCUAACUCCGUGCGAGCAGCCGCGGUAAUACGGAGGAUCCGAGCGUUAUCCGGAUUUAUUGGGUUUAAAGGGAGAGUAGACGGGUUGUUAAGUCAGUUGUGAAAGUUUGCGGCUCAACCGUAAAAUUGCAAUUGAUACUGGCAGCCUUGAGUACAGUUGAGGUAGGCGGAAUUCGUGGUGUAGCGGUGAAAUGCGUAGAUAUAACGAAGAACUCCGAUUGCGAAGGCAGCUUACUAAACUGCCACUGACAUUGAUGCUCGAAAGUGUGGGUAUCAAACAGGAUUAGAUACCCCUGUAGUC